UACGGAAGGCAGCAGUGGGGAAUAUUGUACAAUGGGCGCAAGCCUGAUGCAGCCAUGCCGCGUGUAUGAAGAAGGCCUUCGGGUUGUAAAGUACUUUCAGUCGUGAGGAAGGUGUUAAGGUUAAUAACCUUAGCAAUUGACGUUAGCGACAGAAGAAGCACCGGCUAACUCCGUGCCAGCAGCCGCGGUAAUACGGAGGGUGCGAGCGUUAAUCGGAAUUACUGGGCGUAAAGGGCACGCAGGCGGUUAAUUAAGUUGGAUGUGAAAUCCCCGGGCUUAACCUGGGAAUGGCAUUCAAGACUGGUUAGCUAGAGUCUUGUAGAGGGGGGUAGAAUUCCAUGUGUAGCGGUGAAAUGCGUAGAGAUGUGGAGGAAUACCGGUGGCGAAGGCGGCCCCUGGACAAAGACUGACGCUCGAUGUGCGAAAGCGUGGGGAGCGAAACAGGGAUUAGGAUACCCG
This 459-nucleotide ribosomal RNA is filed under the name uncultured bacterium. Its description in RNAcentral is "bacterial SSU rRNA". It matches the Rfam family "Bacterial small subunit ribosomal RNA", at positions 340 to 788 of the family's 1533-position model. The record is from RNAcentral.